Oryza barthii is the source of this 207-nucleotide non-coding RNA. The record is from Rfam. Lineage: Eukaryota; Viridiplantae; Streptophyta; Magnoliopsida; Poales; Poaceae.
AAUAAGUGCAAUUCUGUACUAUUCAUAUCUAACGUUUGACCGUUCGUCUUAUUUAAUUUUUUUUAUGAUUAGUAUUUUUUAUUGUUGUUAGAUGAUAAAAUAUAAAUAAUACUUAUGUAUGACUUUUUUUUUUUAAUUUUUUCAUAAAUUUUUUAAAUAAGACGGACGGUUAAACAUUGGACACGGAUACCUAUGGCUACACUUAUU